This 466-nucleotide ribosomal RNA is filed under the name Vreelandella stevensii. RNAcentral's name for it is "partial 16S ribosomal RNA". It matches the Rfam family "Bacterial small subunit ribosomal RNA", at positions 338 to 795 of the family's 1533-position model. The record is from RNAcentral. Lineage: Bacteria; Pseudomonadati; Pseudomonadota; Gammaproteobacteria; Oceanospirillales; Halomonadaceae.
CCUACGGGAGGCUGCAGUGGGGAAUAUUGGACAAUGGGGGGAACCCUGAUCCAGCCAUGCCGCGUGUGUGAAGAAGGCCCUCGGGUUGUAAAGCACUUUCAGUGAGGAAGAACGCCUGGUGGUUAAUACCCAUCAGGAAAGACAUCACUCACAGAAGAAGCACCGGCUAACUCCGUGGCCAGCAGCCGCGGUAAUACGGAGGGUGGCGAGCGUUAAUCGGAAUUACUGGGCGUAAAGCGCGCGUAGGUGGCUUGAUAAGCCGGUUGUGAAAGCCCCGGGCUCAACCUGGGAACGGCAUCCGGAACUGUCAAGCUAGAGUGCAGGAGAGGAAGGUAGAAUUCCCGGUGUAGCGGUGAAAUGCGUAGAGAUCGGGAGGAAUACCAGUGGCGAAGGCGGCCUUCUGGACUGACACUGACACUGAGGUGCGAAAGCGUGGGUAGCAAACAGGAUUAGUACCCCGGUAGUC